GUGCUCGCUUCGGCAGCACAUAUACUAAAAUUGGAACAAUACAGAAAAGAUUAGCAUGGCCCCCCCCCCAAAAAUGAAAAAAAUAAGAGUAGCCCUACAUAAACAU
Small nuclear RNA from Lacerta agilis (Sand lizard), 106 nucleotides. Lineage: Eukaryota; Metazoa; Chordata; Lepidosauria; Squamata; Lacertidae. The record is from RefSeq and is a predicted model, not a curated record.